Molecule: small nuclear RNA, 106 nt
Filed under: Neotoma lepida (desert woodrat)
Lineage: Eukaryota; Metazoa; Chordata; Mammalia; Rodentia; Cricetidae
Source: RNAcentral
UUGCUCACUGUGGCAGCACAUAUACUAAAACUGGAAGGUACAGAGAAGAUUAGCAUGGCCUCUGUGCAAGGAUGACACAGGAAUUUGUGAAGCAUCCUUUAAGAUA